Drosophila innubila is the source of this 197-nucleotide long non-coding RNA. RefSeq lists it as uncharacterized. Lineage: Eukaryota; Metazoa; Arthropoda; Insecta; Diptera; Drosophilidae. The transcript has 2 exons. The record is from RefSeq and is a predicted model, not a curated record.
GAUAGUGAAUGCAAAAAUAUUAUAUUUUCCAAUUUUGAUGCAGAAUCAAAAUAGACGUUAAAAAAAUAUAAAAUUGAUAUUCCGGAAGAAAAUCGGUCAAAAUUUGACAAAGUUAUAAGGGUUUGAAGUUCUGAAAUAGUGUUUAAGAGAAAUGUCUAAGGGAAAGUAUGGAGAAAAUGGACAAUGACCAUACCCAU